AUAUUAUUUAAGUCUUAAGUACAUAAAACAUUGUUUACGGAAACUCAUUAUAUUUGUUCAAAAGUAACUAAAAACAAGCAAGCAAGACGUUCGCACGAGCGGCGUCACAAGGCGUACUAACCAAUUACGUAACACAAAAACAAUCGCAUGAUUCUGAUGGCCCCGCCCACUUUACGAUACUUAAGACCUUUCUUUAGAGGCCCAUAAAAAUGUCAUUCGCGAUAACGCUCCGGCCCGCGCAAUAACUGCCAUACAAAAUUCGUCGGACACUUCACGCGACGUCGCGUGAAGGGCCAAAUCAAGGAGUACUGGGAACACGCGACGUCGCGUGAUGGGCAAUGAACGUG
This 347-nucleotide unclassified non-coding RNA is filed under the name Melitaea cinxia (Glanville fritillary). RNAcentral's name for it is "misc RNA ENSMCXG00005019016.1". Lineage: Eukaryota; Metazoa; Arthropoda; Insecta; Lepidoptera; Nymphalidae. The record is from RNAcentral.